RNAcentral lists this ribosomal RNA (394 nucleotides) under uncultured bacterium. Its description in RNAcentral is "bacterial SSU rRNA". It matches the Rfam family "Bacterial small subunit ribosomal RNA", at positions 28 to 414 of the family's 1533-position model. The record is from RNAcentral.
GACGAACGCUGGCGGCGUGCCUAACACAUGCAAGUCGAGCGGAGAAUGCGGAUAUGUUUACAUAGAAGCGUUCUUAGCGGCGGACGGGUGAGUAACACGUGGGUAACCUGCCUCAAAGUGGGGGAUAGCCUUCCGAAAGGAAGAUUAAUACCGCAUAAGCCUACAGUAUCGCAUGGUACAGCAGGAAAAGGAGUAAUCCGCUUUGAGAUGGACCCGCGGCGCAUUAGCUAGUUGGUGAGGUAACGGCUCGACCAAGGCGACGAUGCGUAGCCGACCUGAGAGGUGAUCGGCACAUUGGAACUGAGACACGGUCCAGACUCCUACGGAGGCAGCAGUGGGAAUAUUGCACAAUGGGCGAAAGCCUGAUGCAGCAACGCCGCGUGAGUGAUGAAGG